UCGCUCAUAGCCACAUCUUCUCCAAUUCUCCUCUAUUCAAAAUGAAGUGCUUCAGCCUUAUGGUAGUGGUGUUGGCCGUACUGGCCAUGAUCAUGGGCGGAUCUCAAGCCGCGCCGGAGCCGCAACCAGCGGGGGCCAAGGGACUGCUGAAGGGCGCUAAAACCGUGAUAGGAGUGGUUGGAGCCAUAGGCACGGGCAAGGAGAUCAUCGACCGCGUCAGGAACAGGCACGGAUGAAAAGUCGUCGCAAUUUUAUUACAUAAUAAUUUUAAUGCAACAACCCAAAGUUACUUAUUAAGUGUUAAAAAUAAAUAUUUUAGUGAACUUACAA
Molecule: long non-coding RNA, 330 nt
Filed under: Pectinophora gossypiella (pink bollworm)
Lineage: Eukaryota; Metazoa; Arthropoda; Insecta; Lepidoptera; Gelechiidae
Description: uncharacterized LOC126371383
Source: RNAcentral